GCUAAAUUGAUUUUAUUGAUGCAUUAUAUUAAGUUAAAAUAAGUGUCCAUACAGUAUUGUUGGAAUUGACAUUAUUACAAAAACAAACAAUCGGCCGAUUAAUCUGUAUCGGCUUUCUUGUUUUUUUUUUCGGUCUCAGUAUCGGCGUUGAAAAAUCAUAAUCGGUCGACCUUUUCUCUGAAUAUUUUCCUAAUGCACUGUACAAAAGAAAUAAGAAACGAGUGACAAGAAGUUGCUGAUGUCUCAUCUCUUUUAGAGGAACUUCAAGAAGGGAACACUCCAUCUGUUGCAGAGUGAGGACCAGAUUCUGCCAGUGGCAACUACGGAACGCAUUGCAUUCCUCCCUCACUACGACACACUGGUCCAAAGUGGCAUGUAUGAGUACUAUGCUAGCAAGGGCCAGAAGUCUUUACACGAGUGCCUCAGUACAAUAUUACAAUCUCCAGGCCAAAAAUGAUGCAGUCCUAUUUGUAUUCAUUAGCUAUAUUCACACUGCACUUAGCCAAGGGGCAAAUUUGUACCCAGUGGAUGCAGUAUGAAAAGGUGUAUUUUUUUGCUAUAGCUAAUUAAAGCCUUGUUGUCCCUCCCAGCGUAUGGCUUUGCAGAACUAAUUGACAAUGCACUGUCAGUGACAUCACACAGCACAGGAGUGAGGACAAUAGACAUCCGAUUGCUGUUCAACGAGUCCUUGGGGAAACCGGCAGUGGUUGCCAUGGACAACGGCUGUGGAAUAACCUCCAAGGAGCUCAAUAACUGGGCUGUGUACAGGCUCUCCAAAUUCAACAGGAAAAACAACAUGUUUUCAAGUGAUACAUCAUAUUUUGGUGUAGGAGGGAAACAAGCAGUGUUCUACAUUGGACAGUCAACCCGGAUUAUCACCAAACCAGCGAGCUCCCCAGAUGUCCAUGAAUUCGUCAUUUCAGAAGAAGAGUUUGAGAGGAAGGAGCGGAACAAUGAGAAUAUUUACAGUGGUUUCAUCAGAAACAGGAAGGGAUUACCAACAGAUCACCGAAAAUGUUGACUAUGUAAUCAACAAAACUAAAGUUAUCUGAAUCCAUCCAUACUUUGAAAUAUAAAUCUGUCUGUGUUAGGUCCAACUGCUGUACUACUAUCCUUCCCACAGCGACCAUCUUCUAUGUAAUGACAUCCAUGUUAACUCUUCCCCCAUGCAGAUGGGUGACUCGUCCCACGUGCAAGAUGACAAGGAGUGCUUUCUCCACGGGCUGAUUGCCGAGGAGGUGGGAAAGGAGAGCUUCACAGCCGUGGUGGUGACAGGGGUCCAGCCUGAACACAUCACCUUCCUCAGGCAGGACUUCCACCUGUGGACCAGAGAACUGGCAUCUCUACUGGAGAAGUUCCCCCAGAUCCCUCGCAUGGUGAGCAUCUGAGAGAUCGACAACGACAUGCAGACGCUCUACAUCAACGCAUCAGCUGACACAUUUGAGUUCAAAGUCUACGCAGAUGCUGAUGGAACAGUGGAGGGGGCCCUGAGGUACCACCCCUCCCUCUGUGACAGGGAA
Molecule: long non-coding RNA, 1520 nt
Organism: Oncorhynchus tshawytscha (Chinook salmon)
Lineage: Eukaryota; Metazoa; Chordata; Actinopteri; Salmoniformes; Salmonidae
Exons: 5
Source: RefSeq, a predicted model, not a curated record